AGAAGGAGAUUGCUUCUGCUUGUUCCGCCGAGUACGAUUCCACCUUCUUGGAGAAUCCAUUGAUUAGGCGUCCCCGUGAGUCCCUGCAGACGCAGGUGAUGGCUGCUCUGUUUGCCAUCCCUCCUCUGUUCUUGUCUAGAUUCGCUAACUCGGCUUCCUGUUGAACGAAGGAGGCAUCAAUGUUGACUCGGAGUGAAUCGGAGGGCAGGGGUUGCCACCGGUGCAUGUAAGUCUCUCUCUGUUUCUCCUUGGCUGCAAUCUGGUUCCAGAUUUCGAAAUUUUU
This 283-nucleotide long non-coding RNA is filed under the name Eucalyptus grandis. Its description in RNAcentral is "long non-coding RNA (EGRA_LNC006886)". Lineage: Eukaryota; Viridiplantae; Streptophyta; Magnoliopsida; Myrtales; Myrtaceae. The record is from RNAcentral.